UGCAAGUCGAACGCAGUAGCAAUACUGAGUGGCAGACGGGUGAGUAACAUGUAGGUAUCUGCCCUUUGGCCUGGAAUAACACGAGGAAACUUGUGCUAAUACCGGAUAAGUCUUUACGGAGAAAGCUUUAUGCACCAUUGGAUGAGCCUGCACUUGAUUAGUUUGUUGGUGGGGUAAUGGCCUACCAAGACUGUGAUCAAUAGCUGAUUUGAGAGGAUGAUCAGCCACAUUGGGACUGAGACACGGCCCAAACUCCUACGGGAGGCAGCAGUGGGGAAUCUUGCACAAUGGAGGAAACUCUGAUGCAGCGAUGCCGCGUGAGUGAAGAAGGCCUUUGGGUUGUAAAGCUCUUUCGUCGGGGAAGAAAAUGACUGUACCCGAAUAAGAAGGUCCGGC
RNAcentral lists this ribosomal RNA (396 nucleotides) under uncultured Pseudomonadota bacterium. Its description in RNAcentral is "bacterial SSU rRNA". It matches the Rfam family "Bacterial small subunit ribosomal RNA", at positions 56 to 497 of the family's 1533-position model. Lineage: Bacteria; Pseudomonadati; Pseudomonadota. The record is from RNAcentral.